This 446-nucleotide ribosomal RNA is filed under the name uncultured bacterium. Its description in RNAcentral is "bacterial SSU rRNA". It matches the Rfam family "Bacterial small subunit ribosomal RNA", at positions 329 to 792 of the family's 1533-position model. The record is from RNAcentral.
UGCCAGACUCCUACGGGAGGCAGCAGUGGGGAAUAUUGCACAAUGGGGGAAACCCUGAUGCAGCGACGCCGCGUGAGCGAUGAAGUAUUUCGGUAUGUAAAGCUCUAUCAGCAGGGAAGAAGAUGACGGUACCUGACUAAGAAGCCCCGGCUAACUACGUGCCAGCAGCCGCGGUAAUACGUAGGGGGCAAGCGUUAUCCGGAUUUACUGGGUGUAAAGGGAGCGUAGACGGCCAUGCAAGCCUGGAGUGAAAGCCCGGGGCCCAACCCCGGGACUGCUCUGGGAACUGUGCGGCUGGAGUGCGGGAGGGGCAGGCGGAAUUCCUGGUGUAGCGGUGAAAUGCGUAGAUAUCAGGAGGAACACCGGUGGCGAAGGCGGCCUGCUGGACUGCAACUGACGUUGAGGCCCGAAAGCGUGGGGAGUAAACAGGAUUAGAUACCCCGGUA